RNAcentral lists this long non-coding RNA (1806 nucleotides) under Diabrotica virgifera virgifera (western corn rootworm). RNAcentral's name for it is "uncharacterized LOC126887085". Lineage: Eukaryota; Metazoa; Arthropoda; Insecta; Coleoptera; Chrysomelidae. The record is from RNAcentral.
GUAAUAGUUGCAGGUACAUUUAGUUGUAGUUUAGAAUGAAAAGUAAUCAAUGUAAAAAAAUUGAUCCUGCUACAUAGGCAAAACAUUAUUCAGCUGUUAUCUUUGUCUAUCUCAGGCAAUCUUUGGUAGCCAAUUGUUUUUAGGCAUUUUUAGGCACAAGGACAAUAAAGAAGCGAAGCAAAUAUUGCUCAAAAAUCCACAAUUUCCAAUCAAUGGUCAAAAUAACAACGACAGAAACUCAAAGAAGAUUUAAAAAGUUAACUCAUAAAGCACCAAAUACAGUCAUUUUUUAGGGCCAGGGGGGGGGGAAUGCCCCCCUGUACGCCCAAAUGACGCCCCUGCGCCCCUAAGGAGCAUAAGGAGUUUCGAGAAAGAAGAAUAAUAGUAAUUCAAUAUAAAAUAAAUAAAUAAAAAUAAUAAUUCAAUAAAUAAUUUAUUAAAUUAAAAAAAAAGACUCUCUUCUGAAAAUAGAGUUCUGUCUUUAUAACUUAGAAGGGAGUUGAUGGUACCAAAAAUAUUUUAACAAAUGUAUAUUGUUUAUUUAAAUUUGUUAAAUGUAUUUGUUAAAUGUAAUUAAUAUAUUAUGGCAAAUUAGUUAAUAAAUUGUAAAAAUAGAUUUAGUAGUUUAGUAAAAAAUGUAAAAAUAUAAAAAAUAACUGUAAUCCCAUCAGGAAAAAACGACCUGGAUUAGUCACUAGAGGCCAGGUCAUAUGUAUAAACAAUAAAUAAAUAAAUAAAUAAAUAAAUAAAUAUAACUACAGUCGAACCCGCUUAUUAGAAUCCCUGUUAUAGGAAUAUCCCGGUUUAUGGAAUAUAAAUUCAAGUUCCCGAAACAUUUACAUUUACUCCUUAAUAAAUUUAUCUGUUUAUUGGAAUAGGAUCUAACUAGAUAAUACCGCUUAUUAGCAUAUUUUGCAGGUCAAAGAAUAUUUUUUUUUACAAUUUACUAAAAAUUUAAAUUAUGUUUGGUAUUAUGGUUUGUCGUCAACGGCCGGUAGUGCUGGAUUAGAUAUUAUUAGGGUAAUAAAUAUUUAUUACUUUGUUAGGAAUACCAAUUCGAUCUUUAGCAUAGCCGACAAAUGCAUGGGUCAUAAAAUAAUUUUUAUUUGUCUACACAAAGGCACUGUUGCCUGUUAUAAAAUUGUUAGAAGCAGUUUAGUUAGAAUUCACUCAGACAGUACCUACUUGUUUGCAAGAUGGAAUUAUGGCUUUGUUAAAUUCGAAAAGAAGAGAAAAGAACAAGAAUGUAACAAUCCAUUUCUUGACGCCAAUAAAACUUCUAUUCAACCAAUGGAUUAAGGAUGACCACACGGAUUAACAACGAAAAAGCUAUAAUUACCAAUAAUUUCUCAAGAAAAAAAAGUAAUUUUGUUAUAUAGGUAUGCAUUUUAAUAAGAAAAUAUUUACAUAUCUACAUAUUGCAUACAUUUCAUAUUAAUUAUAUAAUGUAUUCAUUCACAUACAUGUAAUGUAAUUUGGUAUUUAACACAUACAUAGAUAAGUACUAGUUACACUACUGUAUUAUUGACGUAAAAAGACCUAAAACCAUUUACAUACACUGAAUAUGUAGGUACAUAUAAUAUGAUAUACAUAUUGGCAUAGUAUGUAAUAAAACUACAUAUUGGCAUAGUAUGUAAAACUACACAUUGGCACAGUAUGUAAAUAAUAUUAUUACGUAUAUUCGGUAACACUUAUUUCGACUAGCCACCAAUGAUCGGUUAUUAGAAUAUCCCGGCUAUAAGAAUAUUUUUGCCUUGCACAAAGGCUAUUCCAAUAAGCGGGUUCGACUGUAUUAGUUUUCCCAAU